ACGUUGAUUGACAAGUGACGUCACCGUUACGCCCGUUCAUCGUGGACGGCCAUAUUUGAAUCUGACACGGUGGUCCUGUGUGGAUUUGGGGUAAAAAAACGUGACCGGUGUUGGAUUCAAGAAUAAAGACCGUUUAUAAAGGAGUGGUGCAACUGCUUAAGGAGUUAUAAACUGCCCCGUUGUGUCAGGCAGUGUUUAUUCCUCAUCCAGUUAGACAACAAGCGCUGUCAACAUGCCGAAAACAGUCAAUGUCCGGGUGACGACGAUGGAUGCUGAGCUGGAGUUUGCCAUCCAGCCCAACACCACCGGUAAACAGCUCUUCGAUCAGGUAGGUAUUGCUGCUGUGAGGGU
Acanthaster planci (crown-of-thorns starfish) is the source of this 351-nucleotide long non-coding RNA. The record is from RefSeq and is a predicted model, not a curated record. NCBI's taxonomy places the organism in Eukaryota, Metazoa, Echinodermata, Asteroidea, Valvatida, Acanthasteridae.